AACUGUAUACUUUCAGGGAUCAUUCCAUAGGUUGUUACUAGAGAAGUUUUUUUUAGAUGUGUAGAACACUGGAAACCACGAGGAGGAGGCGCAGCAUUCUCUCUUGACCGUGAAGCCGGCUCUUGGUGUUGUUUCACUGCAACUGUCAUUUGCCAUUGAUGAUCGUUCUCUUCCUCUGGGAGAGUAAGAGGGAGAGGACACAGUUUGAGUGGU
Molecule: small nucleolar RNA, 213 nt
Organism: Gorilla gorilla gorilla (western lowland gorilla)
Lineage: Eukaryota; Metazoa; Chordata; Mammalia; Primates; Hominidae
Gene: U3
Rfam family: Small nucleolar RNA U3
About the family: Small nucleolar RNAs (snoRNAs) are involved in the processing and modification of rRNA in the nucleolus.
Source: Ensembl